GACCAGACUCCUACGGGAGGCAGCAGUGGGGAAUAUUGCACAAUGGGGGGAACCCUGAUGCAGCGACGCCGCGUGGGUGAAGGAGUAUUUCGGUAUGUAAAGCCCUAUCAGCAGGGAAGAACAAUGACGGUACCUGACUAAGAAGCACCGGCUAAAUACGUGCCAGCAGCCGCGGUAAUACGUAUGGUGCAAGCGUUAUCCGGAUUUACUGGGUGUAAAGGGAGCGCAGGCGGCGCGUUAAGCCUGGUGUGAAAGCCCGGGGCUCAACCCCGGGACUGCAUUUGAAACUGUCAGGCUGGAGUGCAGGAGAGGUAAGUGGAAUUCCUAGUGUAGCGGUGAAAUGCGUAGAUAUUAGGAGGAACACCAGUGGCGAAGGCGGCUUACUGGACUGUAACUGACGUUGAGGCUCGAAAGCGUGGGGAGCAAACAGGAUUAGAUACCCCUGUA
This 447-nucleotide ribosomal RNA is filed under the name uncultured bacterium. Its description in RNAcentral is "bacterial SSU rRNA". It matches the Rfam family "Bacterial small subunit ribosomal RNA", at positions 329 to 792 of the family's 1533-position model. The record is from RNAcentral.